CUCACGUGGGUUCGUGACACGCUCGGACUAGCUCGCGUGGGCACCCUCUUAGAUCACGUCGGAAUGCCCCCUGGCCUAUGGCCUGUUGGAAUCUCCUCCCUUGUCCUAUUUUCUCCUUUCCUGCAAACACACACACACAUCAAAGAUACAGAGGUGUGGGUCAUAGGACCCCACCUUCUUACAGGGUGAGUACACACAUGCGUGUGUGUACUCAAGAAAGAAAUAGAAAAGAACAUAGGAGAAUCCGUGCCAAUUCGACAGCCUCACGGCGUGUUCUUGGCAAGGGACUCUCGGUACAUAUUUUACAAGACAGAAAUAAAAAAGGGGAAGAUAGAGAGCAAGGAAGUGUUUGUCUUUGAAAGAAGACGAAGAGAAAUAAGAGAGAAGGCUAAGGUCAGCUUAACUCUCGCUAAACCUUCCAAAGAGACGAAAAAGAAUGAGACAAGAGAAGAGAAGAAAAGCGAUAAGAGAAGCAAAAGAAGUUUGACCAUACGGUGAGGCUGGCACAGUGGCAAGAUUGGCGUGGCGACUGAUUCAGCGUGGUAGCUAGACGGGCACAGUGACAUGUACCUGCACGACGAUUAAUCUACUCAACAAUAAAACCAACACACCGGCCAGUCUGGCACAACAUCCAGUCUGACAUGGCAGCUAAACAGGCACGAUGACUCAGACCGACAUGGCGGAUAAACUGCUCGAUGACAAGAUGAGCACUAGCACAAGGCUCAGCCUGCCCUCUGGUCAAAUGAUCGAAGGAAAGAAAGUGGGGAGGUGAAGACUAGGUAUACUCUCGCUAGGUCUUCCAAAAGAGAUGAAAGUGAAAUAAGAGUGAUGGAAAAUGAGAUGAAACUAAGGUAGAUGAAUUAAAACAAAAUAAAACUAGAAAAUGGAUUAGAAUUAAAUAAAUUAAAAUAGAAUGAAGUGAAGUAAAAUAAAUAUAAUGAAGUGGAGUAAAAUAAAAUAAAAGGAUGGAAGAGAAUAAAAUGAGAUGAGACAAUUAAAAUAAAAUAAAUAAUGAAAUAGAAAAAGGUAUGGUGGGAUAAACAAGUGAGAUAAAGUAAAUAGAAUAAAAUAGAACAAAAGCGAUAAGAUGAAGUGAAUGAAAUAAAUGAAAGGUUUCGGGUUAUCUCCGACCCCGAACCCCGCACAUGAUGAACAGUCAGAUUUUGCGCACAAAGCCGGCGAAGUGACUACAAAUUCCAUCGUCGGAAUUUCAGAUUUCGGCCAAAAUUCCAAAGUUGCAAAACCUUUGUCCGGACACGGAAUCGAGCUGCAUUUAUUGCCCCCGCGAACGUGACGGCAUGAUCAGUAUACUUCAAUGAAGAAAUCACUGAAAAACAUCAAGGAAUGAGCACACAAUCGAUUUCAAGUUUCAAGAUUCAUUAAAAUUUCAAGUCACAUGAUCGUGACCUAAAAACACAAUCCAUGGCUCAAAGUUGGUAUCAAAUCGAUCGUCAUGCUAAGCCCUACAAGAAAACAAUCAUCUUUCAAUCAAUCGGGCAUCAAAACGACACCGGAUCAUCCAUGCAAGAUCAUGCAAGUUUUAGGGCAACACAGGGAUUGUUUAGAAAUUUGACAAAUUGUUAUGAAGGGGCAAAUCUGUCAUUUCGUACCUUAUUUUCUAAUUUCUUUUAAUUCAAUUUAAUCUUAAUUUCCCGUAAUUAGAGUUACUUUUGAUCAUCCACCCAUGUUUGGGGCAAAUUCUAUGUAUACAUCAUGCCAUCAAUGUACGGAAAGGACUCAAUCCCUCAUAAAAGAGAGAGUUUUUACUUAUUAUAGUUUCUAUUUCUUACCAUUUUUGGGUCACAUUUGGAGAGAGAGAGCAAGGUGAGAGAAACUUUUGAUCCGUACCCUAGGCUUGAGGUAGAUCUUCUCUCUCUUCCUUUUCUUUUCUUCUCUCUCUGUUUCUUCUUUCUCUUCUUCUCUUUCUUCUUACUCUUCCCCGUCUAAGUCCUUCUCAGAGGCCAUGCACGACAAUGGCAGUGUCGUGCAUGCCUCUCUGGUGGUCUCACAGGUCGCGCAUGGCAAUGGUAGUGCCAUGCGCGAGCUUCUCUCUUCUUCUGUUCUCUAUCCCAGCGAGGCGUGUAGACGACGCUGCUUAUCGUCAUCCACAUAUGUACCCUCUAUGUCUCAGUGAAGAACACAGACGGCAAAACUCAUUGCCGCCCACAGAGGACUUCCUCUAUUACGCGUCUAGCGCAGACGGUGAUACUUAUCGCCGCCAGCUAGAGGUCUCAGCAAAACCUAUCGCUGUCUACGAGCUUCCUUUGUGUGCUCGGUGCCCAUCGUCGUCCGCGAGCGUCCUCCGAGUGUUCGGUGCUCAUCAUUGUUCCUCCUACAUUCCACACCUAUCAUCGUGUGCCUCAUGAGAACUAUCAUCAUGCGUUCCAUUAAAGGCUAUCAUUGCCUGCGUAAGGGCAUUUUCCCUUCUCAUGAUGCCAACGGCGAUGCCCAUUGUCGCCUAGGUUUUUCCUCCUUCUGCCUCCUCGCUCUCUUUCUCUUCGUCCCCUUUUCUUCUCUUAACUCUUUUCUAUUCUCACUUGAUUGGGGGUAGACUUAGCCUAGCGCCCCCAUAUCGGUCUCAGUUUAGAGUAGUAUUGUCGUCGUGCUGAUCUCGAGAACCAUGCCUGUCUUGCUAUCACUCCGAGUUGGUAGCUUUCCGGCCAUCAUGCUAGUCUCGCCCUUUAGUCAAGUUUUCUUCUCCUUUCUCUCUUUUUUUGAACCUUCCAUUUCAUCACUCCCUCAUAUGAGCAUACAAUGCCCUAAGACAAGGGUGGGUCGCUUUGACCCACUUGUCUUGCCAAUUUACCAUAGAAGUGUGGAGCAGAAAACAAGAGGAUUGCAAGUCAAGGGAGGUGAUUCCAAACUAGCUAAAGCAGCUGUGGGGUUUUCUUUGUGAUCUAAAAGGGCGGCCACAUGAGCUAGCCUGAGUGAGUCCCGAACCCAUCUUAAAUUCCUCUCUUAUCAGUUGGUAUACUUGCUCUUGUUCUUGAGCAAGGUUCUGAGAGAGUGAUCCCAAAUCUUGGGUUCGCUAAAAACUUGAGAUACGUGUCGCCAUAUCAUCUAGAUCUGGAAGGCGAGAUUGAGCCACCUAACCAGCUUGACAACUCCACUGAGGACAUACUACCCCUUAAUCGAUUCGCUCUUGUUUGACCAGUAUCCUCUUUUACUUUCUGCAUUACCUUCUAUGGCACCCGGGUUGCUCAACCUGUUCAUCCGAGUGGGGGAUUUUCUCAUCCUCACACUCGUGAUUGUCCUAGGGAAGCGAACUGCUCAAGCUUCCUUCCCUACUCUCCUUCUUAGUCAGGACUCACAAUCUGACUCCCAGGUUCUUGCCUAAGUUAGUGCAAGAGGGGACUUAAAAGUCACUGACUCCACGCUUCCUCGCCCUAGUGGACCCUCCAAGGCCCCUUUCAUCGGUGGCACGUCUACCACCUCACAUAGCAUGCACCCUGCUACUGGCAAGUCUCUUGCUGGUCAUAUUGCUGGGGCACACCGAAAGGCUGCCCUAACCACUUUCGCAAGAGGCAAGCAAGUUGUUGUCGCUCUUGAGGUUCGCCGUAAAGCAACCCCCCAUACUCCUUCAUCACUUCGGACAUCUACAUUUAGAGGCUCAGCACACCGAGAUGGAGACCCUACGACCAUCACCCCUCGCACACACCCAAGGGCUUGUGGUCCACCCACUCAAGCCACACCUCGGGGCAACCUUACGUUGCCUUGAGCUCGCAUCCAGGGCUAGGCCUUCUAGGGUCGAACCCUACAAGCGUCAUGCAUUUGCUGUCCACAAAUCGGGGUAGCGUUAGCACCUCGAGCACAUGAGGGUCGAUCGCCCCGUCCCCCCUCUCAGUACACACAGCUUCAUCUUGCGAGAGAUAAGGUUCCUCCUCGUCCCUCACAAACACAAGCUCAUGAGUCUCGGCCUCCUCAGGUCGGACUCAUUGAUUGAGCCCGGGCUGACCCCUAGGUCACCCAGACAACUAACCCUAACGGUGUACACGCACCACCCUUGCAAGUUCCUUCCCGACCCCAACUCAGAUGGAGUCAUGAACCAGCUCCUUCUCCUGCCGCUCUUCCGACACCAGACAAGCACCUCGAGCCCUGGUACUCAAAGGUCUUCCCUAAGAGUACCAUCUUGAGCCAGCCUCUGGCCAGCCGUGCACAUGGGCCCCACAAAGGAACUCGGGGCAAUAGCCUGAUGUCAGACAAAGGCCUCUAGCCUCCAAGGCAGAAACCUAGGCUACCUUCUAUCCUUGGAGCCCACUCCCUGCUCCAACUCAUAGACACGGCCCUUGCAUGUUCAAAGAAGGCGGGGCGGUAUAGGUCUCAAGCUCGGUUCUAAAAUGAAGUCUACAGCUAUCUUAGGGCUAAGUAAAAGAGAGAUCAUCAGAUCCUGACCAAAGAAGCCUCCAAGGCAAUCGAGGUCGCCACCGUUUAUGACCUCUUACUUCGUGACCCUUUUUUCCCUCUUCAAACUCUAAAACCUGAGCGAGUCCAAGAGUAUUGCAGGCUCGUCACUGCCUAGAAACCACGGUCCCAAGACUGUCGAGAACCAGUCCUCACAAGAUCAGCAUACAAGGCUUGAGUCCAGUCCUCACAAGUCGGCUCCUCCUCCUGGCUCUGACUCCUAGAAGAGACGGUUAGUGUCAUGGUGAUCAAUGACCCAGAUGAAGCCCAAGAGGACAGAAUGACCAGGUUCGAGGUAAUGAUGCAAUCCAUCCUUGAAAAGAUGGAACGCCUAGAAGCCUCCAAGCCCACUUCCUCUCACCAUUAGACCGAUUCCCCAAUCGAUGAGGACACAGUUCCUAGACAAACACAGGUCUCCCAAGACAGUUCUGCCUCCCGCGAGGUCUCUCAAACUGAGAUAGAUACUAUGGUGGCCCAUAGCCUCAAGAACAAGGUCCCAGGCAUGCAAGAGGCGUCGCUCUACUAGAAGCCAUACCCUUCGUACAUUGACCAAGUACCCUUCCCUCCGAACUAUCAAAAGGGGAAGCUCCCACUGUUCAACUAUACUAUGUCUCUGCAUCAGUAUACUGCUCACUUCUAGGUGGCUCGUCGAGAGACGGCAACUGACGGACUCCUCCUCCUCCACCAGUUCGACGAUACUCUUGAACGGCAAGCCUUCCAAUGGUAUACUCGGCUGCCUCCCAACUCGAUACACACGUGGCAAGCGAUGGAGCAGUUGUUCUACCAACACUUCUAAAAAGUCCAAAGGAACUUGGAGACAAUCAAACUCCUUACCCUGAGCCAAGACCAUGGUGAGCCCGUUGACAAGUUCUACACCCGAUGGGGAGAGUUGGCAACCUUCCAUGCCACUCCCAUGACUGAGAAGGAAGCGGUCCAGACCUGCAUAUGAAACCUGCUUCCUAAGAUCGCCCUGCAUGUCGACCCUCCAUGUUAGAGCUCAUCUCUAAGGAAGUUCGUAGUGAUGGGUUAUUCAAGCACCAUGGUAGCCCUCGUCGGCAACCGCCCGGCCUAACCUAUCACUCCAACAGUCGGACAGCUAAAAAGCAGUGAUCAACGUGGUCGCCACCAUGACUGGCACUAAGAGCACGGCUCCUCAAACCCUGGACCUUUCCAAGGCACAUACAUCUCCGAGCGAGGGCAAGCAGUUGUCCUACAAUGAGGUCCCGCCUCCUAAAAAUAGUAAGCGAAAUGACUUCUGGAUCCAGCACCAGAAUAAGGUUUACCCCUUCGACAAGGAGUGGACUCUUGAACUGCUUCGGCUGCUUUUAGAACAUAACAUGAUCCAGCUGCCGGAGUCCAAUACUGCAAAGUCAAUUAGGUAGGAGACGAAUGAGAGGUACUACGCCUAUCACAGGAGAGUAGGCCACCCAACUCACAACAGCUAUAAGCUCAACGGCACUAUCGAAUCCCUUAUCAACAAGGGUCAGAUAAAGCUCGAAGAGUUGAAGAAAGUGUUUGGGGCAACUGAGGCUUCUCACAUAGUCAUGAUUCAAGAGGGUGACGAGGCACCCAUUAUCCUCCGUGCAUUUUUCUCCAUAAUACUUGAAGAAGGACUCAUCACUCCCAAGCCAACAAGGCAGCCUAAAGUCCUGCAUCCAGGGACUGAGAACCUCUAGUAUGCAUAUCACCAAAUACAAGGACGUGACGUCAACGAACGCACUGGAUUCCACGAACUAUUGGAAAAGAAGAUGCAGCAGUGCCAGGAAGUUCAAGGCAACCUAGGAGGACACCCUUAAGUCCCUCUUCCACUUGUACGAGAAAACCCCCCGAUGCAAGCCAAGAAAAAUACUAAACAGGACCCUCUUCGAGGCAAUGCUCCAACAAGCCUCGUCACUCCCAAGCCCGCCAGGCAACCAAGGCAUCUGGCCCAGGGCACGGAAAACCUCUGGUGCCCAUAUCCCCACGUAUGUGGCCACGAGCUGGAAGAAUACUCUGCGUUCGAAGCCAGAAAGGCCACAUGGUCUGUGCCAUCCUCCUAGAACAUUUUCAGGCUGUCACCCGUUCACAAGGAAGUUGCACUACAAGCCCUUCAUAAGCAUGCACUGAACCCUUCAGAGCCCUCGACCUCUCAACCCUGGGAAGUCUACCAUGGUCGAAGUAGGCUCAAAUCCCUGAAGCGUGAGGCAAUCCACCAAGCUAGGACUACUCACCAGCCCGAGAAGGAAAUCCAAACACCCCCUCAGGGACCCAGAAUGGGACCACAAACACCUAGGUCAACCCAUCGAAGGAAUCGUCUUUCUCAGCCACCAGUCGAGGAAGAAUUUCUCAGGCUUCUUCCCCCACUGCCAACCUUGCAAUACUUCAUCCCAGGCGCAUCUCGCCUCAUCCUUUCGUCCAAUCAGGAGAACAUUCUUGAGUCACCAAAAGCUUGGGAUUCCUCCAAUAUGGGUGACGACACUAAUAGCAACCCACAAUGUCAAACUUGGAGCAAGACCUAAAAUAUCCCCUGAGUACGUCCAAUUUCAGUGAUGACGUAAAAAGCUGCCCGGAAUGUUCUAACUAUUCUUCUCCUCCUUCCUCUUCUAUUUCCUCUACAUGUGCAGCUCAACGUUGCCCAGACUUCGACACUCUAAACACAGAGUUCGGAGGCAUCAGCCUCACCCAGCCAUAGCAAGAGUGCUUCAGAGAGAUGUUGGCUCAAGCCGCUGAAUUCUUGAAAGUCGCCGAUGCCCUGUCAACCCAAGCAAAGACCGAGUCAUCUUCGGUCUCCUGUUCCAAAGAGGCCUGCCACAUGAUCCAAUUUCAUGAAGCGUCCUCUAGUUCAGGGCAAACACCAACUGAUCUCAGUCAAGAGGUCUGACCCUUUCAUUGCCUGGACUAGCCAGAAAUUGGGAGACCUCUCCCACACUAUGCCCCUCUUAGAAGCCGAGAUGUCAGGAUCAUGGGUUUCUACACUCGAGAUCAAAGAAAAUCCUUGUGAGUCCUCUGAUGAGGAACUUCAGGAAGCUCCAAAAGAGUGGGAAGAAGGCAAUCAGGCCACGACCGCCGAGCUUGAAGAGAUCAACCUAGGGGAUGAGACCGACCUAAGGCCAACUUUUAUCUCAGCAAAUAUGUCCUCAGAAGAGAAAGAAAGUUAUAUCUCCCUCCUUCAAGCAAAUCAGGAUUUAUUUGACUGGCAUUAUCAUGAGAUGCCUGGUCUAGACCCGCAAAUUACUCUCCAUCGACUCGUCAAUGAUCCAUCAAUCAAACCCAUAAAGCAGAAAUCAAGAAGCUUUAAACCCGACCUCGAGAUGCAAAUCGAUGCUGAAGUGAAUAAACUCAGGUAGGCUGGAUUCAUACGUGAAGUCAAAUACCCAAGAUGGCUGGCAAAUGUCAUCCCAGUCAAGACGAAAAAUGGUCAAAUAAGGGUCUGCAUUGACUUUCGUGAUUUGAAUACCGCCUGCCCCAAGGAUGAUUUCCCCCUGUCGUUCACCUAGAUGCUUGUCGACUCCACGGCUCAUUGCCAGAUCUUCUCCUUUAUGGAUGGAUAUUCUGGUUACAAUCAAAUCAGGAUGGCGCCUGAACAUGACGAGGCCACUGCGUUCCAGACCCCAAAAGGUGUCUUUUGCUACACUAUGAUUCCUUUCGGGUUAAAGAAUGCCGGUGCCACGUACUAGUGAGCCAUGACAACCAUCUUCAAAGACAUGAUCCACAAGGAGGUCGAGUGCUAUGAGGAUGACUUGGUGGUGAAGUCUGACACAAAGGAUACUCACAUACAAGAACUUUAAAAGUUCUUUGAACGACUGCGGCGCUGCCAACUCAAGAUGACUCUAAAAUGCACCUUCGGUGUACGCUCAGGAAAGUUCUUAAGGUUCAUUGUGAGGUACCGUGGACUAGAGAUCAAGCUAGUUAAAAUCAAGGCAAUUCGAGACAUGACGUCGCCUCCAUGAACUGCAGUCUCUCCAAGGAUGGCUUGCCUACAUUCGAAGGUUCAUUUCAAACCUUUCAAGGCAAUGCAGACCCUUUUCACACCCCUUGAAGAAGGACACUCCUUUCUUAUGGGAUGAAGCGUGCCAAGCUGCGCUUGAUGAUAUCAAGCAGUACUUGUUGAAUCCACCAGUACUCUCCACUCCAGUGUUAGGAAGGCCUCUUAUCCUUUAUGUGACCACCUUUGAUGAUCACUUAGGGAACUCUUAGUGCAGAACAAUGAUGGAGGGAAAGAGACAGUGCUCUAUUAUCUAUGCCGCAGAAUGCAGGAGCCGAGAAGAAUUACCCUCUCAUCAAAAAGAUGUGCUUAGCCUUGAUCUUUGUAGUACAAAAGCUCUGUCAUUACUUGCUCGGUCACGAGGUCAAGUUAAUCUCCAAGGCAGACCUGGUCAAGUUCCUUAUGACCCAGCCAUCCUUGUCAGGAUGUUUGGCCAAGUAGGCAUUAUUGCUGAUGGAGUUUGACAUCACGUAUGUAUCGUAGAAGGCAGUUAAAGGCCAGGCCCUAGCAGAUUUCCUCUCUACUCCCUUCAAAAUCUCCCCUAUCGAGCCACCUCCCAGAAGAAGAAGUUUUUUGUACAACGCUAAUUCGGUCGUGGGAAAUGUACUUUGACGGAGCAUUCCAGUCUGAUAAAGGGGGCGCUGAAGUUGUGUUCUUGACUCCCUCUAUCCUUCUCACUUACAGAGGCAUUUUCUCAUAACGAAGCCGAGUAUUGCCCAAGAACUAGACCUGGAGCACCUGAACAUCUUUAGUGACUCUGAGCCGGUCAUCCAGCAGCUUAAGGGGAUUUAUGACGUAAGGAAAGAUACCCUCAAGCCUUAUCAUGAUACGACUACAUCUUAUAUGGCCCAGUUGGAUGAUUGCUCCCUGAGACACAUCCCUGGAAGGGUAAACUCACAGGCUGCUGCACUCUCAAAGCUCGACGCCACCAUUUAAUUGUCUUAAUCAGGGCACACUUCAGUCUGGGUAAACCGAAUGGAGACACGUCGACUUGAGAAUCGAAGUUGACGUAGAUAAUGAGAGGGAUGUCUUCCCUGAAUGCCCGCCUUACCCAUUCAGGACACUUCUUGCAGCCAAAUAUGUCAUUGAGGCGGAGCAAGAGAUGCCCCAAGAUAAAGAAUCUAAGGUCAAGAAGCAAGAGCCCGAAUUCUUCAACCCGAUGUGUGCACAGGUUGAACAAUUCGAAGAUUGGAGGGAGCCGAUCAUGGACUUCAUAAAGCAUGAAAGGCUACCUCAAGAUCGGGCGAAAUGCAACGGCAUACGAUGGAGGUCUACCAAGUACACCCUUCUCAACGGUGACAUUCUCUUCUGUCAGUCAUUUGAAGGAAUUCUCCUGAGAUGCAUCGUUAAACAAGAGGCAAGCAAAGUACUCGAAGAAGUGCAUUCGGGUAUCUACAGCCUGCAUCAGUCCGACCCGAAGCUCUACAAGCGCAUAUGCAGACUCGGCUAUUAUUGGCCUUCAAUGGUGGCUGACGCCCAAAACUAUGCUAAGAGAUGCCAAGUGUGCCAAAUUCACUCAAGCCUCAUUCAUUAACCCUUAGAGCCUCUCCAUCCCACAGUGACAUCAUGGCCCUUUUCCCAGUGGGGUAUGGAUAUUGUGGGACCCAUCGACCCUCCUUCUACCUUGGGUCAUGCCUUCAUCCUAACAGUGACAAAUUACUUUUCCAAGUGGGCUAAAGCGAUCCCCCUCAAUCAGGUUCCAAGGACUGCGGUAGCUAACUUUGUGCAUCACCACAUCAUCUAUUGAUUCAGGGUUCCAAACUGAAUAAUAUUUGAUAAUGGGCCCCAGUUUAGAAGCCAUCAUGUUGAUCGCCAAGCCAACCCGUUCAGCCUCGAGUGGAAGUACUCGACUAUGUACUACCCUUGAUCCAACGGUUUGGCUGAGGCAUUCAACAAAACUUUGUGCGGGGUGUUUUAGAAGUCAGUUUCGAAGUCAAAGAAGAAUUGGCAGGAGAAGUUGCCUGAAACUCUGUGUGCCUAUGUCACCACCAGCCAAAAUGCUACAAAUUCCACUCCUUAUUCCCUGGUCUAUGGCGGUGAGGCGGUCUUAUCCCUCGAGGUUCAAAUACCUUCACUCUAUGUCGCUAUACAUCAGGGAUUGACUAAAGGUGAGAGGGUCAAGCUUCGUUACCAAGAGUUGGAUUCCCUUGACGAAAAGAGACUCAAGGCCCAGCAGAACUUCGAGCUCAAUCAAGGAAGAAUGAAGAGAUCCUUUGACAAGUCUAUCAAAAUUCGCUCAUUCGCUCAUGGGGAUCUAGUCUUAGCAGUCAAGAGACUGAUUGUCAUGCAUGGGCACUGUAAAGGAAAAUUUGAACCCAAGUGGGAAGGUCCGUUCAUAGUAAAAAAGGCCACGCCAAACGGGGCCUAUGUAUUGGCAAAAUCGGAUGUAGGAGAGGCAAUGCCCCCCAUUGAAGGGAUAGUCAGGACUAGUGACUUUCAACACUCAUAUCACACUCGUCCAAGGUCAGAUCAAGCCUAAAUUUUGUGAGCAUAUUUGUCUCAUCAAGACGAGCAUUUCGAUAUGUGGCACACCUCAAAAUGAUUCCCGAGCACGAACAAAAGCUAGAGAGAAGUUGCUGAUUCGUGAAUAACGUGCAAGAAAAUCAGUAACACCAUGCCUUGCUCAAGCGACCAAAUCAUGCCAAUCGCGAACCUGAUUGUCACGAGACCAAUUUCAUCAUGUGCGUAAGGCUUAGGGUAUCUCUGACCCAAACGCUGUCCAUGAUGAACGGUUGGAUUUUGCAUACCAAUCUGACGAAGUGACUAUGAAUUUUGCCGCCAGAAUUCCAAAUUCUGGUCAAAAUUUCAAAGUUGCAAACCCUUCUACCGAACACGGAAUCGAGCUGCGUUUGUUACCCCGCGAUCAUGAUGGCAUGCUCAAUAUAUUCCAGUGAAGAAAUCACAUAAAAACAUAAAGGAACGAGCACAUAAUCAAUCCGAAGUUUCAUUCAUUCAAAUUUCAAGUCACAUGAUUGUGCCCUAAAAACACGAUCCAUGGCUCGAAGUUGGUAUCAAAUCGAUCAUCUUGCCGAGCCCUACAUGGAAACAAUCAUCUUUCAAUAAACUGGGCAUCAGAACGACCUCGGAUCAUCUAUGCAAGAUCACGCAAGUUCUAGGGCAACACAGGGACUUUUGGAAUUCCACAAAUUGUUAGGAAUGGACAAAUCUGUCAUUUUGUACUUUUUUCUAAUUUCUUUUAAUUUAAUUUAAUCUUAAUUUUCAGCAAUUAGAGUUAUUUUUUAUCAUCCAUCCAUGUUUGGGGCAAUUUCUAUAUAUACAUUGUACCAUCAUUUUACACAAAGGACUCAAUCCCUCACAAAAGAGAGUUUUUACUUAAUACAGUUUCUCUUUCUUACCAUUAUCAGGUCACAUUUGGAGAGAGUUUUUACUUAAUACAGUUUCUCUUUCUUACCAUUGUCAGGUCACGUUUGGAGAGAGUUUUUACUUAAUACAGUUUUUCUUUCUUACCAUUGUCAGGUCACGUUUAGAGAGAAAGAGCAAGGUGAGAGAAAAUUUUGAUCGGUACCCCUAGACUUGAGGUAGAUCUUCGCCUUUUCUUUUCUUCACUCGCUUAUUCUUCUUACUCUUCUUCUUCUCUUUCUUCUUCCUCUUCCCCGUCUGAGUCCCUCUCAGAGACCAUGCACAGCAAUGGCAGUGUCGUGCAUGCCUCUUUGGUGGUCUCACAGGUCGCACAUGGCUAUGGCAGUGCCAUGCAGGAGCUUCUCUCUUCUUUUGUUCUCUCUCCUAGCGAGGCGUGUAGACGGUGCCCAUCGCCAUCCGCAGAUGUACCCUCGACGUCUCAGUGAAGAACACAGACGGCAAAACUCGUUGCCGCUUGCAGGGGACUUUCUCUGUUACGCGUCUAGUGCAGACGGUGAUACCUAUUGCCGCCCACUAAAGGUCUCGGCAAAACCUGUCACUGUCCGCAAGCUUCCUUCGCGUGCUCAGUGCUCAUCACCGUCUGUGAGCCUCCUCUGAGCGUUUGGUGCUCAUCGUUGUUCCUCCUACGUUCCACGCCUAUCAACGUGCGCCUCAUGAGAAUUAUCAUUACAUGCUCCAUGAGAGGCUAUCGCCGCCCGUGUAAGGGCGUGUUCCCUUCUCAUAAUGCCAACGGCGAUGCUCAUUGCCGCCUGGGCUUUUCCUCCUUUUGCCUCCUCGUUCUCUUUCUCUUCGUCCCCUUUUCUUCUCUUUACUCUUUUCUUUCCUCACUUGACUGAGGGUAGACUUAGCGUAGUGCCGCCAUAUCGCUCUCGGUUUAGAGUAGUAUUGUCGUCGUGCUGGUCUCGAGAACCAUGCCUGUCUUACUAUCACUCCGAGUCGGUAGCUUUCCAACCGUCAUGCUAGUCUCGCCCUUUUAUCAAGUUUUCUUCUCCUUUCUCUCUUUUUUGGAACCUUAUGUUUCAUCACUCCCUCAUAUGAGCAUACAAUGCAUUAAGACAAGGGUAGGUCUCUUCGACCCACUUAUCUCGUCAAUUAACCAUAGAAGUGUUGUGUAGAAAGUAAGACGAUUACAAGUCAAGGGAGACGAUUUCGAACCAGCUAAAAUAGCUGGGGGGCUUCCUUCGUGAUCUAAGAGGGCACCCACGUGAGCUAGCCCGAGUAAAUCCCGAACCUAUCUUAAACUCUGCUCUCAUCGGUUGAUAUACCUAUUGCUUGUUCUUGAGCAAGGUUCUGAGUGAGCGAUCUCAAAUCUCGGGUUCACUAAAACCCGAGAUACAUGCCGCCAGGUCAUCUAGAUCUCGAAGGCGAGAUCGAGACAACUAACCAGUCACAAGUGGUUAGAACUGAGAGGAAGGUGGGACAUGUAGGAGAACAUCAGAGAAAGAGAGAGAAAGCCAUCCAGCAAACCCUAGACCUAGCUUUAAGCCACACUUAGACCAAGAUAACAAUUCAACCAAGCCAAGGCUUGGUCAAAACUUGAAGAGUGUGAUUGUCCUUAUUCCUUUUCACCUUUCUACAUUUAUUUUAUGUAUUUUUUUAUUUUUAUUAGAUUAAAUAUGUUUUAUUACAUUUUAUAUUGUAUUUCGUGCUUUUGGAUCGAUGCUCGCUCUGUCAAUGAUCUGAGAGUGGAUUUAUUUGUUUUUUAAUAGAUCUGGCCUCAGAUCAGAAUUUGAUUGUCCCGACUAUCUCUAUCAUUUUUUUAAAAAAAUCAAUUUAUAGUAUUCAGAUCUGAGGGAUCUUCUUCUGGAGAUCUCUCCGAUUUUGCACUGUAAACAUGAGUAUAUAAAAGCGUGGGAUUUAAUAUUUUCAUACCAAAAUCCUACUUGUAUACACAGCUGGUUUUCACCGUUCAGGAUAAAAAGCCGACGAGAUAUCCCAAAGUGGUUUAAAAGCUGGUUUUAUACAUGAAGACCUUUGCCUGAUAUACUUCUUGGUUCCAUUAAAGAAUCAAAAAAAAAAAAAUUUGAGUUUAAUAAAAAUGCUGGAAAAACAGACACAGAAUUAUAUUUAUGGAUUUUAUGUGAAAUCUCAUGGAUUAUGAGAUGGGAAUAUGUUAUAAGCGACGAUAAUGAUAGGUGAGAUUAUAUCCCAAAUCUUGUUUUAUAUUAAAUGGUAGGAUAUUUUCACCACCAUACAACUUGUCCCAAAUAAAAUCACCCUUAAAAAGGAUGUCCCAGUUAAUUUGACUAUUAUUAGUGAAGCAGAUGAAUUACUUAACUACUUAAAUCAAGUAGAAACAAAACACAUUUCCAAAGUUGAGCUUAAAAGAAGGCUCUCAAUGGCCUUACGAGAAGAAGAAGACAAAAUGUCUAUGUCCCAGCAGGAUGACGAAAACUAGAACGAAGAAGGCUUCGAUCCAGACUACUUUGAGCCUUUCACAUCACAAUAUUGUUCUAGAUAAGGGAAGGUCGGACUCCAAUCAAUCCAGGACAUGUGCCCCGAUAGUACUUGAAAAAUCACUGGGAAAAAGACAAAGGAAUCUACUUUUUCACAAAAAACACUGUAGAAGUUACUAUAGCAACGAUGAAUGUAGCAAUUUCACUAUUCAGUCACUAUAGACCUUUUUCAGUCACUGUGCGGACUUCAAAAUAAAACGAGUCCACGGACAAUCUAUUGUACGAAUUUCAAACUAAUUCAAGUCUACCGACACGAUGCGGACUUCAAACAAGUUCAAGUCCACCGAUAAUAAGGGUCUAUAAAAGGAGGGACUUCCUCUUCAGAGAGGCAUCUCAAGAUUUCUAGAAAAUUAUAGUCUUCUCUAGUAGGAAUAAGAGAAGGCUUAGGAGUGGAAUGCCUGGAACUAUUUUUUCCCAUGUUUAUGUAUUGGGCUAAAGCUUCCUUCUUACCUUCGGGAUUACUAAUUUUAUCAAUCAGGUCGAUAAUUAGAUUUUUUUCUUUUGUGAGUGUAUCUAAGCUCAACCCAUUCAUAUUAAUAAUGGCUUUAUAAAUAUUACAGUGACAAGAGUCACCCUGAUUUUGGUUGUCAUCAUCAUUCGAAUCGGGGUCAGAACUUGAAAGAAUUAAUUCUUCAUCUUCAAUUUCUCUGAUUAACAUCUCUUCACCAGAUUCAGAAGAGCUAUCCGAUGAUUCUAAUUUUAGUAAAAUAUUGUAUAAUUGUCUUUUAAUACUAUAUUCAAUUCCAAAGGAAUUAAUCUUCUUUUUUACUCUGUAUUUGUUUUUAUAAUGUCCUACUUUACCAAAAUUAAAACAAACAUGUAUUUUUCUUUUUCCCUUUUUUUUAAAAGAUUCACAUUUCACAAAUUUUUUAUAAACUUUUCCUUUCCUUUUAGAAGACUGGUCCCUCUUCGAUGAUGAUUUAUACUUCUUAUACUUUUCACCACUCCAAGAUUUUUCUUUAUAAUGUGAACUAGAUGGUAAAAGAGUAUUAUAACCAAACAAUUCACAAAAAUCUCUAAGUUUUUUUUUGCCUGUCAUUCUUUGUUUAUCUAAUUGUCUUCUAACUUUGAGAUAUAUGCACAUGGCAAGGCAUUCGGCGCAAAUCUCAGCUGAUAAUUAUCCAAAUGUAUAUUGUGAGUAUGGUAUAAUACCAUUGUACUUGUUUUUAAGUCUGGUCUUGACUUUUUCAUCAAAAAGAUUUGGAAGUCCUAAACUAAAAUUUUCUUUCCAAUGAUCUGAUUUGCUAUCUUCUCUUGACAAAAGUCUCAAGUAAAAAACAUCUUUAUACCAUUUAAAAUGAGAUAGGAUUGGACAUCAAAGAUUGCAUUAUAAAUCUUUUGACGAGCGGCUAGAAGUGCAGUACUACCUACAAAGUGGAGUGUAAUUGUGUAGGUUAAAGUGUUUACUGCAUCUCCUUCAUCUACUAUGGUUUCUUGAACUUGUCCUGGGCCUAUUUCUGUUUUAACAACCCAUUUUUUAGUAGUAUUUAAAAUCUGAUUUCGGGCAGAUUCGUCCAAGUAGAAAUCCCACCAUCCUCGAAGCCAUCCAGUAAAUCCACAUACAAUAGCCUUAGUAAUUUCGUGGUCUUUAUUACCACUAGCUUUACAGGCAAUAGCACAUAUGGUCAUGUGCUUCAUUAAAUCAAGCACUUGUGCUUCAGAAAAGCCAUCUAUAUUCCAAUUUACAAUGAACUUUCUGAAUAAGUGAUUGAGCUUGCGACAAGGUCUUCUUCUAUUUCAAGAUCUACAGGAGUAGGCCUAGGAUAAUACAUCCUGGUUUGGGCUACAGGCCUAGUUUUUCUUCUAUAAUCAAUUUUAUUUAUUUUUAGGCUUUCUGUUUUAAAAGAAUGUUUUAUAUCCAUUAUUUCCUAAUUAGUGUACUGAUUGUUUUCUUGUACAACAUUUACUCCUUUUUCUUUUCUAAUGAUCUUAUACUUGAGUUUUUAACCUAAUUCUAUUACUAAGUACUUGUAUUGUCUCCUUCUUUUUUCUACUUCUUCGUAAAUUAAAUUUAACCCUNNNNNNNNNNNNNNNNNNNNAUUAGAUGAUGCAUCUAGGAAAGUUGGAGCUUUGUCCAUGAAGUAGACAAAAGAUACUAAGUAAUUUGUAAAAGUUUACAUAUAUAUAUAUAUCCCUUNUUAAAAAAAUGUUUUGAGGUCCACUCUAAGUUUUUAUAUUUUCAUUUUGAGUCUAUUUUCCAAAAAUAUUUGAGAGAGAAACUCCAUGGGCAUGAAGAGAAAAAUAUUAUUAGGGUCAUCAUGAAUUUCUAUAAUCUGAUAUGUUUUUAUGACGUGAAUGUCACUUAUUUAUCUCCAUGUGAAAAAUAUUAUUUGGGAUUCAAACUGUGAUAUUAAAUUUUGGUUUGGAGUCAAAUUUUCAAUAGAAGACGUUUGAGGGAAAAACUCGAUGUGGUUUGACAAAAAGAUUUUUAUUAUGAAGGGAUUCUAAUCCUGAUUUUUUGCUGUAUGAAUUGUGUUGUGACGUAAAUGUUACCAGUUCACUGAAUGGUGUGAUUUGGGGAUGUUACCAACUAUAAUUUUGUACUUUUGAGUCUAUUUUAAUACUAAAACAAGUUGGAGAGAGAAAUUCUCUGUGAGUUGAGAGAUCGUAUUUUCAUCUUCUAUUCUACAGUAAAUUGAAAUGUGUCACAUUUGGGUACUCCCUUGAUUGGAAGCAUUUUUAGGGUCAUUCUUAGUUUCAUAGUGUAUUCUUGAUAUGAUUUAUGAUAGUAAAAACUUCAAAGAGAUGUCAUGAAAUAUUAGGGGGAUAUGACACCAUAUGUGAAGGGUGCUCAGUCUGGAAAUUGGGAAAAGAAGAAGUAUAUACAAUACAUGUAAAAGGAUCUUGUUUCCCCUUUGUUUCGGGCAAUGAAAGAAGCAACUUGAUUAAAGAACUUCCUUGAGUUGCAAAGAUAUGACCCCAUGUGAUGAGGGUGCGUGAGAUAUCUUCUACGAUAAUGAGUCCAUGAUUCAUAAUGCUAAUACAGACGACGUAAAAAAGGACUACGAAUGAGAUCAAAGCAGCAGGAAGAGAGACUUCAUGACUCCCACAAAGGCUACAUACACGAAUCCUUAGUGAAAGGAAUGAUGGCAAAGGAGUUCAUCAAGUUAUCUAAUGAGCAUAAGAGACAAUAAGUGAGAAACACUUGAGAAUGAGAUUGUAAUGGGGGAAAGAGAAUGAGGGUGAGUUAUUGAAAGGCCUUCAAAGGCCAAGUGGGAGAUGUUGGGGUUAUAUGGUCAUUCAAAGGUGGAGUUAUAUAGCCAAUUAAAGGCCUUAUGAGAACAUUUACUGAAAUCGUAUCUGGUGAUAUGUUGGCUCAAGUGGGAGUGUGGUCCAGUUUGGACUAUGAGGCAUUAUAAAUGGUGAGAAUAACUUGAGCGUUAACUAGCCAUGGCUCAAGGUGAUGUCUAAAGCCUAUACCCUGGGCAUUUUGUGCACAACAGGUUAGGGUUUCAAUAUAGGGUUAUCCUUGCUAAGGUUACAAUUGUGCCCAUGGUGGUUGGCCAGGGGAUUAGAUGUGACUCAUGUGUGUGAUGGUAAGGGCCAAAGUCCUCAUCAUUACCAUCACAUACCAUGUAUACUAGAUAGUCGUUCAGGAAGUAAUCAUUUGGAUGACGGUAUGUGUUGUAUACAUGUGCUGAAGAGAUGACUCCCUACAACACUGGGCUGUGUUAGAAGGACCCAUGAAGCAUAGUGUCGGAAUGGAGCACAGACUUGUCCUCAAGGAGUGACAUGUAAUCCAUGGACUAGGUUCGUGUCUCCUUUAUAUAUUGGCUGACUUUGAUAGUCCAUGAACCCCUUCGAAGGGUUGUGGGCCAUAAAGGGAUUUAUUAAGAUUGCAUACAAGGUUCUCUUUCCCUUUCUCCUCAAAUUUUUUCUUCUAAAUCCCCAUUUAGAAAGGCUGUUUUGACAUCCAUUUGAUGAACCUCAAAGUCAAAAUGGGCCGUUAUAGCUACAAGGAUUUGGAUGGAUGGAAAUUUUGCAACAGAGGAAAAGGUUUCCUCAUAAUCUAUCCCUUCUUUCUGGGUGAAACCCUUUGCAACCAACCUAGCUUUAUAUUUUUCUAUUUUCCCUUCAAAGUUCAACUUUUUCUUGAAAAUCCACUUACAACCAAUGGCCUUACGUUUUUCACGUAGGGGUACUAAUUCUCAUACAUAGUUUUAGUUAAUGGAAGCAUACUCAUCUUUCAUGGCUUCUACCCUGUAUUCCCUUUCAGGACAGGUCAAGGCUUCUCAGUGAGUUCUAGGUUCUGAAAUCUAGAUCUUCCUCAACUUUAUCAAAAUAUUCUUCAAGGUAGACAAAAUGUUCUAGGUAAAGAGGUGGUCAACUGACUCGGUUACUUCGUCUUGGUUCAAGUAAAGAUUCACUUUCUAUAGGGAGUUCAGAAUCAAGUUGGGUUGGUUUGGAAGUUUCAAAUUUAGGGUCUCGAACUACAUCCUUGUUUUGGGUCUCCUCAUAAAAGUCGGCUUAUUUUCUACUCACCCUUGCUUCAAGGAACUCUUCCUCGAAGAAGUGAGCAUCACAGCUUUCAAUAACCACACAUGUUUCAAGGUUGUAGAAUCGAUACCCAUUACCAUGAUCUAGGUAACCAAUGAAAUGGAUUUGACAGUGUUUGGGUUGCAAUUUGGUUCUAUUUUGAUGUGGGAUAAGGACAUGGGCUGAGCAACCCCAAACUUUCAGGUGUUCAAGGGAGGGAGUAUGACUUGUAAAAAUUUCAUGAGGAGUAAGUGGGGCAGCUUUUGUGGGAGCCCGGUUAAGGAUAUAACAUGCUGUUAAUACGACUUCUCCCCAAAACAUCAAUGAGAGAUUUGCAUGCCCCAUCAUACUCCUUACCAUUUCCACUAAGAUCCUAUUCCUUCUCUCAGCUACAUCAUUUUGUUCAGGAGUAUAAGGCAUUGUGUACUGAUGGAUGAUCUCAUUUUCAAUGCACAAUUCUUUGAAAAGGUCAGAUGAAUAUUCCCCCCCUAUCGGUUUUGAGGACUUUAAUUUUUAAGUUGGUUUGGUUCUCUACCUGGGCCUUAUAUUCUUUGAAUUCUUUCUAGGGCUUCUAAUUUUGUAAGAAUAAAGUACACAUGGCCAUAUCACGAGUGGUCAUCUAUAAAAGAGAUAAAAUAUCUUUUUUCACUUUUGGUGAUCAUAUUCAUAGGUCCGCAUAUGUCACUAUGAAUGAUUUCCAAUACGCUAGUAGCUCUUUUUGCCCUAGUGGUAUUUUUCCUUAUUAGUUUUCCUUGCACAUAAGACUCGCACACUUUCGAUAAAUUUCCCUUAUAAUUUUGAAGAAUCCCGUCCUUUUUUAAUCUUUUCCUUUCGUUUGAUAUUAAUGUGUCCUAACCUCAUAUGUUAUAGGGUAGCAUUUAAUUCAUUAGGGGAUGAGACAUAAGCAACGCUCUCUUUUAUUUCAAUAGUAAAUAGCCCGUCUACAAGUCAUCCAGUCAUGAUCUCAUCUUUCCCCUUCUUGACCAUCACUUUCUCCCCAAUGAAAGUGGUUAUGAAUCUAGCCAUAGACAUCUUAGGAACUGAAACUAAGCGCUUUCUCAUAUCAGGAGCAUAAAGUACUUGUUUUAGGAUCAAGGUACUCCCACUCUUUAGUUUCAGUACAAGAUCUCCAACUUCAAGUACAUCAGUCUUCUGAUUUCCUCCCAUAUAAAUAUGCUAUUGUCUUGGCCCCAUGGGAGUGAAAGAAUGAUAACCUUCCUUAGUGUUUAUAACAUGGGUCGUAGCCCCUAGUCAAGACACCAAGAAGCUCCCUUGGGGUCAACUAGCAUGGACUCGAAAACCACACAUGUCAAUUCCUUGUUAGUUCCACUAGAUUUGUUGAACCGACAACUAUUGGCUAUCUGGCCCACCUUCUUGCAAAUAAAACGAGUUAGAGUCUCUCUCUUUGCUCCCUUAUUUUCAAAAUCUCUUCUUUUGAAAUAUCUUUUCUUCUCAAAAGUAUUUCUUCCCUUUCCUUUUUUAAAUUUAAAAGAUGGUCGAGAUUUUACCAUAUGCACAGUAUCCCUUGGGGUUUGCCUUGAACUCCUCCUUUCUUCUUCAAAUUUGAUGGUUGUGAUGAGUUCCUCCAAUUUGAUACCUUUCUUCUAGCACAGAUGGAAGAUAUGAAAGUCUCCCAUGAAUUAGGAAGAGAAUUCAUUAAUGAAUCACUUGCAUAGAUUCAUUAAGCUUCAUACAUGUAUCUUCCAAAUCUCUGACUAGCGCACGAAACACGUGCACAUGAUCUGUAAACUUGGUACCUUCUACUAUUUUUAAAUCAUUGUACCUUAUCGUAACCAUAGUUUGCUUCAUGAGAGAAGGUUCAGCAUACUCUCUUUCAAGUUUAUCAAAAAUCUCACUUGCAGUAUAGAUUGACUUGUACUCAGAAGCAUACGAGUCAAUCAUGGCACAUAAAAGAAUGUACUUGCAUCUCAAGUUCCUCCUCUUCCAAUUGGCGUACUCAUCUUUGAUUAUUUGAGAUGAGUCGUCAGUUGGACGACGAGGUCGGUCCUCAAAGAGUACCUCAUGCAAGUUUUCUUCAUAGAGCACAAAUUUGAUUUUUCUUUUCCAUGAAGCAAAGUUGAUCCCAUCAAACCUUUCGGUUUUCAGGAUCUCAGAGAUGGAGGUACGAACAGCCAUAUAUUUCUAUUCUCAAGCAAAAAUAAGAAAAGACUCUCAAUGACAAUCAAGUAAAACUAGCUUUGAUACCAAUGAAAGAAAGACCUAUGUGAUCUUUAGCUGAGAGAAUACAAUUUUUUUUUAAAAAAAUAAUAAUAAUCACCCCUUAUAAUUUUGGCAAUAAGAUCACUCACAAACGAUCUUAUUACAAACAAUAGAAAUUCCAAAAAAAAAAAAUCUCAACUAUUUGAUGCCAUUCAUAUAACCUAAUAUUGUGCUUGAGAAUAUAAAAUAAAAGAACUUAACAAAUAAAAGAAAAGAUGCCGGAGAUUACAUCAAUCGGGUUUUUUACACCACACACCGAGUCACCACAUCCAAUGGCAUGGGAUCUGUGGUCUAGCUUCAAUCUUGAAUCGAGAUUGCUGAUUUCAGCCAAACUAGAUAAUCACCCCUUAAAAACUCUACUAAAACUUUAACCCCCAAUAUUAACUUAGAUCAACUUAGAUCUAGAGAGGAGAGAGAGUACCACCUAAAAUUUGAAGAGAGCAAAUUAGAGAGAAAAAGAUGGAGGAGAUAGAGUGGGGCAUGCCCCUCUAGGAGAGAGAGAGAGGCUAUAGGAGAGAGAUAUCAUAUUGAGAUUGGGGAGGAGAGCACCCCUAUUUAUAGUGAAUAUUUAAGUUUAGGGUUUCUUAUGGUUUUUUCAUAGUUUACCUCUUUCAUGAGAUUGAAUCUAGACAGUUGACCAAGAUGACUUGUGGGGUGAGAGAUCUGAGCCAUCCAUUCCAUAUAGGCCAUCAACAUUAUGGAAGGUGCUUGGACCAUUAUCCCCUUCGCGUUAAACCAUUUUCCCAUCAAUAUAUUUAAAUAAAAUAAAUAUCAUGCAUUCUAUAAAAUUGCAUGAUCCAUGUCACAUAUUCCAUAAAGAUAUGUCAAAUAAUAUCAAGUAGAUAAAUACUACCAAAUAUGAAUAAGAUAAGAUCCAUAUCAAUUCAAAUUGACUAUAUCUCUUUAAAACAAACUUGCUACAAAAUAGAUUAAAGUCAUGGUCAAUAUAUCCCUUCCAAGAUUUGACUACAUGCCACAAAUCAAACUAAUAUUAUCUUAAAAGCAAACAAAAGAAUCCAAACAGGGUGGGGGGUGCCACCCUUUUGUGGCACAUGUGGGCCCCCACCCACAUGCCACAUGGUGGGCCCAUGUGCACUAUAGGCCCCCAUGGAAUUUCAAAAAAUAUAUAUAUUAUUUUAAAAUUUGAAUAAAAUAAUUUAAAAUAUAUUUGAAUUUUUAUAACUUUGUAAGAACAAUAACUGUAUUUUUAUAAGUCCAAAAAUCACAAAUAAAAUAUUGAGAUAUUCAUAAAAAUUCAAAUAAUAAAACUAAAAUCAUUUCAAUAAUAAAAUGAACACAAUUAAAUUAAUAUGAUGGGAAAAUGAUCCAUAUGGUUUUAGGAAUCCAAUCUGUAAUAACGGGGUACUCCACCUUCAACUGUGGACUACAAACCACCCUAGCUUUAUCGAAUCGACCAAGUGUUUCCCAUGACCCAUAGUCCAAACAGGGGCUCAUUAGCGGGUCACCAAAGUCAGGUCGAUGAAUCAAGGGGUCGCAAUCCCAGUCUGUGGAUUACAGGUCCUCCCCUAAUGACGAGUCAAGGUCACCACGACUUGAUGUGACCACAGCUCUAUGGUGCAUAGGGGUAUCUCUCACACAGGCAUACGCUUCGCCCAAAGGUGGAUAUCUGGCUUUUCCGAACGAUCUAUCAAUAUGCAUGCCGUGUGAUGGAACAUGGAUGAGGUUUUGGCUCUCAUCUCAGUAGGCUUACCAUCACACACAAGGGUCACACAGUCCUUCGGCUCACUCAUCUAGGCAUAAACUCCGACCUCAUAAAGGGCUAACCCAAAACCCUCCUCAAUUAAGUAUUUAUGCCCAGGUACCUUGGGUUUUCCAACCGUCUGGCCUAGAUCGAUAAGCACAGUCUGGUAUAAAAAAAUAUCAUUUGCUUAGUAUAGUCCUCGAAGGACCACACUCCCACUAAGUUUAUGUUUCACUAUAAAAGUAUUUCAAUACACACUCAUAAGGCUUGAAGGGCCACAUAAACCCAACAACAUAGCGUCGGAAUGGAGCAUAGACUUGUCCUCAGGGAGUGACAUGUAAUCCAUGGACUAGGAUCGUGUCUUCUUUAUAUAUUGGCUGACUUUGAUAGUCCAGAAGCCCCUUGGAAGGGUUAUGGGCCAUGAGAACUUUUGGGUCAGUUUGAGAAGGUGCAGUGAGAUAUGAUUUAUAGAAAUAAUGGAGUCCUCAAUAUAUUUGUUAUAUUUUUAACUUUUUUGAUCCAAAUCCCAUCAAAUCUUAUUAAAUAUGUUUAGUUAUGCUUUAAUUAUAUUUUAGAUAAUUAAAAUAAAUUUUUAGACCUCUCUGGAUAUUUUAUUUUAAUGAAAAGAGAUUUUUAAGUGAAGAAAAAUCAAUUUUUUGGAUUUAUUUUAAUCAGAGAGCAAAAUAAACUAUUUAAAGGUUUUCUAAAACUCAUUUUAAUAUUUCAAAAAGUUUAUUUAGGUGUGGGGCCCCAUUGGGACAUUGGACCCACCAUUCGAACCCAUUUUGUGGCCACGUGGGGGCCACAUGGCUCUGCAUGUGUGGAGCACCACGCUCCCUCCUUUCUUUUUUGUGUGGCUCGUGUGCUAAGCCACCUUCUUAAUUGGAAAAAUAAAGGAAAAUGUUAUAUAGAUAAUUUGAUUAAUUUUAAAUAGGAAAGUGUAGAGAUUAAUUAAAAUUGAUAUGCAAGAAUAUAGUAUUUUCUCUACACUAUAAUUGAUGCGAAUAAAGUUAUGGAAACUGGGAGAUAAUGGUUCCAUCUCAUUCUUUUUAAUCAUGAUGGCUUAUCUAAAGAAUGAAUGGAUGAUAUAUCUUCACCUCAUAGGUUUCCAUGAUCAAAGGUCAAGAUUGAGUCUCAUAAUGAUGGCAAAAACCUAACCCUAAAAACCCUAGUCUCUAUACUAUAAAUACUAUCUAUGGGGGGGGUCUUUCCUCUACACCUCUUUACUAGCCUUCUCUCUCUCUCUCUCUCUCUCUCAGUCGUGGAGACGANNNNNNNNNNNNNNNNNNNNUAACGUAACGUAGUAGUACGUACUACUAAUAGUAGUAGUACGAAACCUAAACCUAAACCUAACUACUACUACUACUAUAUACUACUACUACGUGGUCGGUCGUCUACUACUCUACUACUCUCUCUCUCUCUCUCUCUCUCUCUCUCUCUCUCUCUCUCUCUCUCUCUGAACCCUUGGGAAGUCACACCUCUCUCUCUCUCUCGCGCUCUUUCUCUCUCAACUUAGCUUAGGGUUUAAUUUGUAGAAGGUAGAACCCUGAGGAGGGCACACCCAAGCCACAAGGGUGGCACAGAUUUGCUCUUGUGUUGAGCUUUGAUCAAAGUCCCAUCCCAAUGUCAUGCUUUGAAGAGGUUUCGCCUAAGCUUGUCGAGUUAUGAGAUAAGGCUAGACCGAGAUAUCGUGCGAGACCUGGUGUGAAGUGUACAAAGUCCUUGGGGGUAACCAGAGGCAAGGUAUUUGGUAAUUCUAAUUGCUCCAUAUUUCUUGAUUCUUCAUGCAUUUUAUUUUUUUAGUAUUAUAAAGAAUUGUCAUGGUAUGUAAGAGAAGAUCCUAGGUUGUAUUAGGGUAUAUUUAAUGAAUAAAGUUGUACUUUUGGACACUUGUAAGUGUUCUAAUGAAUAAAAGAAAGGGCGACUCCAAAGAGAGCUUGACAAUUUAGUGUGCCACAACAACUAUGACAAAGGAGAGGUAAACUCUUGCACUCGUGCCCAGUUUGAGCCCACUUUACAGAUGUUUGCUGGUCCUUCGAGGAUCACCAACCAUAGAGAGGGUUAUAUGUCGAAAUGAAGGUGCUAUGUUGGAAUAUCAGGGGCCUAAAUAGCGAAUCACGCAACAGAGAUGUACUUUCUGUUUGCAGAAAGGAAAGACCUGAUCUCUUGGUGAUUCAGGAAACUAAAAUGGAGGCCCCAACCUUCCACACAACUAGAUUGGUUUGAGGAAACAGAUCUUUGGAUUUUGUGGGUGUUGAUGCUUCAAGCUCCUCAAGUGGUAUAUGGAUGCUUUGGGACUCAUUGAUUUUGUCUGCUAUCCAAAAUGCUCCUAGACACAUCUCUAUUUUGUUUCAAGGGCCUUUAGGACCAUGUCUCUUGGUGUUUAUCUAUGGUGUAUGGUCCUAACAGAAUCGAUGAAAGAACUGCCUUUUUUUAUGAACUAUCUAAUAUUCAGGUUAAUUUAAAUUUACCAUGGUUUGUUUAUGGAGAUUUUAAUGCUAUUAGAUGGCCAAGUGAAUCUUCAUCUUCUCCGCCUAUUUCUCCUUGUAUGCAUACUUUUGAAAAUUUUAUUCGGCAACAUGAAUUGAUUGAUCUUCCUUCAAUUGGAGCUAACUUCACUUGGUGCAAUCAUAAUUUGCAAGAUCGAGUUUUGACAAGGUUGGAUAGGUUUCUAAUUCUGAAUUUGUUAUUCGAUUUCCAAGUAUUCGUGUGGAAGCUCUUCUUAAAAUAUCUUCAGAUCAUGUACCCUUCUACUUAAUUCUAAUGGAUUUUCAUUUGGACCUUCCCUUUUUUGAUUCAAGUUGUCUUGGCUGUCAGAGAGAUCUAUGUUCAGCUUAGUAAAAGAAUUAUGAAAAAACACAAAAAUUAAAGGUUGGAAAGGGAUUUCAAUUAUAAAAAAAUUACAACUUCUGAAACAAAACAUUAUUAUUUGGAGGAGAAACGUUUGGGGAGAUCUACAAUAAAAAAUUGGCAAAGCGAAAAAUCACAUUGGAGAGAUAGAUAAUUUGUAGUUUAUGGGAGGAUAUCUAACCCAAAAUCAAGUCAAAGAUAGAAGCUUAUUGGUGGCUUCAUACAAGCAAUUGCUUAGAUUGGAAGAGAUUCAUUGGAGGCAAAGAUCAUGUGUGAAAUGGUUGAAGGAAAGGGAUAGAAAUACGAGAUUUUUUUAUAUUAUCGCUAAUGCUAGAAAAAGAGGUACUCUCCAAAAUCUUAGAAUUGAAGGGUUAUAUUGUGGUAAUGGACUGGAUGUUGAAAAGGUUGUGGUUAACUACUUUAAGAAGGCCUUUGCGACAAAAAGUGAACUUGGCCUUUCUAUCCAAGAUCUUCCCUUUACUAAGCUACCUCUCGAACAAGCCAAGUGGUUGGAAAGGAAAUUUGAAGAACAAAAAGUCAAAGAUGCAGUAUUUGACCUUGGAAGAGAUAAAGCUCUUGGGCCAAAUGAAUAUCCUAUUGCCUUCUUUCAAAGUUUCUGGGAUACCUAGAACGAUGAUACAUUUCAAUUAUUAGAGGAGUCUUAUUCUAGAGGAAGAGUUAACGUUGCAAUGAAUUUCACAUUCAUUGCUUUAAUUCCAAAGAAAAAUGAUAAAUAUAGUCUUGACGUGACCUAUUUCUAAUAAACUAAAACCUACACCUGUCUUGAUCUUGCCUGGAUUUACAUAACUACAUUAUGCAAUUUAUCAUUACGCAAUUUACGUUAGAUAAAUUACAUAAUUUAUGUGUAAGUUGCAUUAUGUAACUUAUAUUAUAUGUCAUUGCAUAUAACGAUUAUGUGUUGGGCCCUAAUACUACGACCUUGGUGGUUAGUGCCUUGAUCUCACCCCCAGGUUGGGAUGACCUGGUGGCACGUGUCUCGGGUUUUAAUGAGAACCCGAGACUUGAGACCGCUCUCUCGAGAACUGUGCAAAGAAGACAUAGGCAGGAGUACCAAACGAUGAGAGGGGAAUUAAGGUCAUGAGGUGGGACUUACCUCACGUGGGUCUGUGACACGCUCGGGCUAGCUAGCAUGGGGCCCUCUUAGAUCAUGUCAUAAUGUUCCCCGGGCCUGUGGCCGGUUUGGAAUCGCCUCCUUUGACCUGUUUUCUCCUUUCCUACAAACACACACACACACAUCAAAGAUAUAGACGUGUGGGUCAUAGGGAACCACCUUGUUACAGGGUAAGUGCACAGAUACGUGUGUAUGCUCAAGAAAG
RNAcentral lists this long non-coding RNA (26787 nucleotides) under Amborella trichopoda. Its description in RNAcentral is "long non-coding RNA (ATRI_LNC002492)". Lineage: Eukaryota; Viridiplantae; Streptophyta; Magnoliopsida; Amborellales; Amborellaceae. The record is from RNAcentral.